RNAcentral lists this ribosomal RNA (393 nucleotides) under uncultured bacterium. Its description in RNAcentral is "partial 16S ribosomal RNA". It matches the Rfam family "Bacterial small subunit ribosomal RNA", at positions 523 to 918 of the family's 1533-position model. The record is from RNAcentral.
AUACGGAGGAUCCGAGCGUUAUCCGGAUUUAUUGGGUUUAAAGGGUGCGUAGGUGGUUUGAUAAGUCAGCGGUGAAAGUUUGCAGCUUAACUGUAAAAAUGCCGUUGAAACUGUCGGACUUGAGUGUAAAUGAGGUAGGCGGAAUGCGUGGUGUAGCGGUGAAAUGCAUAGAUAUCACGCAGAACUCCGAUUGCGAAGGCAGCUUACUAAGCUACAACUGACACUGAAGCACGAAAGCGUGGGGAUCAAACAGGAUUAGAUACCCUGGUAGUCCACGCAGUAAACGAUGAUUACUAGCUGUUUGCGAUACACAGUAAGCGGCACAGCGAAAGCGUUAAGUAAUCCACCUGGGGAGUACGCCGGCAACGGUGAAACUCAAAGGAAUUGACGGGG